Molecule: transfer RNA, 72 nt
Filed under: Epipogium roseum
Lineage: Eukaryota; Viridiplantae; Streptophyta; Magnoliopsida; Asparagales; Orchidaceae
Description: tRNA-Gln
Rfam family: tRNA
About the family: Transfer RNA (tRNA) molecules are approximately 80 nucleotides in length. Their secondary structure includes four short double-helical elements and three loops (D, anti-codon, and T loops).
Source: RNAcentral
UGAGACGUAGCCAAGAGGUAAGGCAGCAGGUUUUGGUCCCGCAAAUCAAAGGUUCGAACCCUUUCGUCUCAU